UACGUAGGGGGCAAGCGUUGUUCGGAAUUACUGGGCGUAAAGGGCGCGUAGGCGGCACGGCAAGUCGGGAGUGAAAGCCCGGGGCUCAACCCCGGAACGUCUUUCGAAACUGCCGAGCUAGAGUGCGGAAGGGGCAACUGGAAUUCCCAGUGUAGCGGUGAAAUGCGUAGAUAUUGGGAAGAACACCUGAGGCGAAGGCGGGUUGCUGGGCCGACACUGACGCUGAGGCGCGAAAGCGUGGGGAGCAAACAGG
Molecule: ribosomal RNA, 253 nt
Filed under: uncultured bacterium
Lineage: Bacteria
Description: partial 16S ribosomal RNA
Rfam family: Bacterial small subunit ribosomal RNA
Source: RNAcentral